UGACAUACAAUCACAUUUAUCAAUAUACAGCAAGUAGGUAAUUUGUGUUGAAUGCCAGUAGGUCAGAAUUUGUUAAUUGAAUUUUACCUGUAAAAGGGUCACUGACUAGCUGUCAAAUUCAUGUUCAUCGAUUUUAAUCAAAUUCACAUAACGUGUGGUGUUGAAUUGUUUAUUAAAAUUCCACGCACAAUCUUGGCUGAUAUGCAUAAAACCAUUAUUUCAUGAACCUGCAUGAAAUAUUGACUUAUCACAGAACUAAAAAAAUAAACCACCGAAAGUCCACAUAAGAGGGUAUGGUGGAUGUGAAUUAACAGAAUAGAGAAUAACGGGCAAAGAAAAAAAGGAAUAAAGAAUAGUGAAAGAAAAGAGAAUAAUGGUAAAAACGUGUAAGUCAUUAAAAAUAUAGCUUAAAAAAAAAGAAGCCUCUGUCAUCAAUUUGAGGAAUUUACCCAAGGUUAAUUUUACGGCGGC
RNAcentral lists this long non-coding RNA (471 nucleotides) under Mytilus galloprovincialis (Mediterranean mussel). The record is from RNAcentral. Lineage: Eukaryota; Metazoa; Mollusca; Bivalvia; Mytilida; Mytilidae.